Molecule: long non-coding RNA, 295 nt
Organism: Oncorhynchus keta (chum salmon)
Lineage: Eukaryota; Metazoa; Chordata; Actinopteri; Salmoniformes; Salmonidae
Exons: 3
Source: RefSeq, a predicted model, not a curated record
GAGAGGGGAUGGAGAGAGAGGUUAGAGAGGGGAUGGAGAGAGAGGUUAGAGAGGGGAUGGAGAGAGAGGUUAGAGAGGGGAUGGAGAGAGAGGUUAGAGAGGGGAUGGAGAGAGAGGUUAGAGAGGGGAUGGAGAGAGAGGUUAGAGAGGGGAUGGAGAGAGAGGUUAGAGAGGGGAUGGAGAGAGAGGUUAGAGAGGGGAUGGAGAGAGAGGUUAGAGAGGGGAUGGAGAGAGAGGUUAGAGAGGGGAUGGAGAGAGAGGUUAGAGAGGGGAUGGAGAGAGAGGUUAGAGAGGG